Molecule: ribosomal RNA, 230 nt
Filed under: uncultured bacterium
Lineage: Bacteria
Description: partial 16S ribosomal RNA
Rfam family: Bacterial small subunit ribosomal RNA
Source: RNAcentral
AAAGGGAGCGUAGGCGGCUGAUUAAGUCAGCGGUGAAAGGUAGCAGCUUAACUGUUUUACAUGCCGUUGAUACUGGUUAGCUUGAGUUGACAGAAGGCAGAUAGAAUUCCUGGUGUAGCGGUGAAAUGCUUAGAUACCAGGAGGAAUACCGAUUGCGAAGGCAGUCUGCUGCAGUCACACUGACGCUGAGGCUCGAAGGUGCGGGGAUCAAACAGGAUUAGAUACCUAGU